GACGAACGCUGGCGGCGUGCCUAAUACAUGCAAGUUGAGCGCUGAAGGUUGGUACUUGUACCGACUGGAUGAGCAGCGAACGGGUGAGUAACGCGUGGGGAAUCUGCCUUUGAGCGGGGGACAACAUUUGGAAACGAAUGCUAAUACCGCAUAAAAACUUUAAACACAAGUUUUAAGUUUGAAAGAUGCAAUUGCAUCACUCAAAGAUGAUCCCGCGUUGUAUUAGCUAGUUGGUGAGGUAAAGGCUCACCAAGGCGAUGAUACAUAGCCGACCUGAGAGGGUGAUCGGCCACAUUGGGAUUGAGACACGGCCCAAACUCCUACGGGAGGCAGCAGUAGGGAAUCUUCGGCAAUGGACGACAGUCUGACCGAGCAACGCCGCGUGAGUGAAGAAGGUUUUCGGAUCGUAAAACUCUGUUGGUAGAGAAGAACGUUGGUGAGAGUGGAAAGCUCAUCAAGUGACGGUAACUACCCAGAAAGGGACGGCUAACUACGUG
Molecule: ribosomal RNA, 497 nt
Filed under: uncultured bacterium
Lineage: Bacteria
Description: partial 16S ribosomal RNA
Rfam family: Bacterial small subunit ribosomal RNA
Source: RNAcentral